AGUAAUGCCUAGGAAUCUGCCUGGUAGUGGGGGACAACGUUUCGAAAGGAACGCUAAUACCGCAUACGUCCUACGGGAGAAAGCAGGGGACCUUCGGGCCUUGCGCUAUCAGAUGAGCCUAGGUCGGAUUAGCUAGUUGGUGAGGUAAAGGCUCACCAAGGCGACGAUCCGUAACUGGUCUGAGAGGAUGAUCAGUCACACUGGAACUGAGACACGGUCCAGACUCCUACGGGAGGCAGCAGUGGGGAAUAUUGGACAAUGGGCGAAAGCCUGAUCCAGCCAUGCCGCGUGUGUGAAGAAGGUCUUCGGAUUGUAAAGCACUUUAAGUUGGGAGGAAGGGCAGUAAGUUAAUACCUUGCUGUUUUGACGUUACCGACAGAAUAAGCACCGGCUAACUUCGUGCCAGCAGCCGCGGUAAUACGAAGGGUGCAAGCGUUAAUCGGAAUUACUGGGCGUAAAGCGCGCGUAGGUGGUUCAGCAAGUUGGAUGUGAAAGCCCCGGGCUCAAACCUGGGAACUGCAUCCAAAACUACUGAGCUAGAAGUACGGUAGAGGGGUGGGUGGAAUUUCCUGGUGUAGCGGUUGAA
Molecule: ribosomal RNA, 586 nt
Filed under: Pseudomonas sp. faro1_37
Lineage: Bacteria; Pseudomonadati; Pseudomonadota; Gammaproteobacteria; Pseudomonadales; Pseudomonadaceae
Description: bacterial SSU rRNA
Rfam family: Bacterial small subunit ribosomal RNA
Source: RNAcentral